ACCAACCCGAUGCAAACUGCGAAUACCGGAGAAUGUUAUCACGGGAGACACACGGCGGGUGCUAACGUCCGUCGUGAAGAGGGAAACAACCCAGACCGCCAGCUAAGGUCCCAAAGUCAUGGUUAAGUGGGAAACGAUGUGGGAAGGCCCAGACAGCCAGGAUGUUGGCUUAGAAGCAGCCAUCAUUUAAAGAAAGCGUAAUAGCUCACUGGUCGAGUCGGCCUGCGCGGAAGAUGUAACGGGGCUAAACCAUGCACCGAAGCUGCGGCAGCGACGCUUAUGCGUUGUUGGGUAGGGGAGCGUUCUGUAAGCCUGCGAAGGUGUGCUGUGAGGCAUGCUGGAGGUAUCAGAAGUGCGAAUGCUGACAUAAGUAACGAUAAAGCGGGUGAAAAGCCCGCUCGCCGGAAGACCAAGGGUUCCUGUCCAACGUUAAUCGGGGCAGGGUGAGUCGACCCCUAAGGCGAGGCCGAAAGGCGUAGUCGAUGGGAAACAGGUUAAUAUUCCUGUACUUGGUGUUACUGCGAAGGGGGGACGGAGAAGGCUAUGUUGGCCGGGCGACGGUUGUCCCGGUUUAAGCGUGUAGGCUGGUUUUCCAGGCAAAUCCGGAAAAUCAAGGCUGAGGCGUGAUGACGAGGCACUACGGUGCUGAAGCAACAAAUGCCCUGCUUCCAGGAAAAGCCUCUAAGCAUCAGGUAACAUCAAAUCGUACCCCAAACCGACACAGGUGGUCAGGUAGAGAAUACCAAGGCGCUUGAGAGAACUCGGGUGAAGGAACUAGGCAAAAUGGUGCCGUAACUUCGGGAGAAGGCACGCUGAUAUGUAGGUGAAGUCCCUUGCGGAUGGAGCUGAAAUCAGUCGAAGAUACCAGCUGGCUGCAACUGUUUAUUAAAAACACAGCACUGUGCAAACACGAAAGUGGACGUAUACGGUGUGACGCCUGCCCGGUGCCGGAAGGUUAAUUGAUGGGGUCAGCGCAAGCGAAGCUCUUGAUCGAAGCCCCGGUAAACGGCGGCCGUAACUAUAACGGUCCUAAGGUAGCGAAAUUCCUUGUCGGGUAAGUUCCGACCUGCACGAAUGGCGUAAUGAUGGCCAGGCUGUCUCCACCCGAGACUCAGUGAAAUUGAACUCGCUGUGAAGAUGCAGUGUACCCGCGGCAAGACGGAAAGACCCCGUGAACCUUUACUAUAGCUUGACACUGAACAUUGAGCCUUGAUGUGUAGGAUAGGUGGGAGGCUUUGAAGUGUGGACGCCAGUCUGCAUGGAGCCGGCCUUGAAAUACCACCCUUUAAUGUUUGAUGUUCUAACGUGGACCCGUGAUCCGGGUUGCGGACAGUGUCUGGUGGGUAGUUUGACUGGGGCGGUCUCCUCCUAAAGAGUAACGGAGGAGCACGAAGGUUGGCUAAUCCUGGUCGGACAUCAGGAGGUUAGUGCAAUGGCAUAAGCCAGCUUGACUGCGAGCGUGACGGCGCGAGCAGGUGCGAAAGCAGGUCAUAGUGAUCCGGUGGUUCUGAAUGGAAGGGCCAUCGCUCAACGGAUAAAAGGUACUCCGGGGAUAACAGGCUGAUACCGCCCAAGAGUUCAUAUCGACGGCGGUGUUUGGCACCUCGAUGUCGGCUCAUCACAUCCUGGGGCUGAAGUAGGUCCCAAGGGUAUGGCUGUUCGCCAUUUAAAGUGGUACGCGAGCUGGGUUUAGAACGUCGUGAGACAGUUCGGUCCCUAUCUGCCGUGGGCGCUGGAGAACUGA
This 1744-nucleotide ribosomal RNA is filed under the name Escherichia coli. RNAcentral's name for it is "partial 23S ribosomal RNA". It matches the Rfam family "Bacterial large subunit ribosomal RNA", at positions 938 to 2665 of the family's 2925-position model. Lineage: Bacteria; Pseudomonadati; Pseudomonadota; Gammaproteobacteria; Enterobacterales; Enterobacteriaceae. The record is from RNAcentral.